Molecule: unclassified non-coding RNA, 329 nt
Filed under: Hevea brasiliensis (rubber tree)
Lineage: Eukaryota; Viridiplantae; Streptophyta; Magnoliopsida; Malpighiales; Euphorbiaceae
Source: RNAcentral
UAGAUCUCCUUUCAUAUCUUAGCUGGGUACUAAGUCUGCUUGGAAAUGAUAAUUCUAAGUAUGCAGGCCUUAAUUGUCUGACUAUUUUGUUGUUUCUGCACUAGAGUGUGAAUUUGUGUCUGUACUGUAAUUUGCAAACUAGACUUGAUCCAUUAGCUCACUUGGUUAGAUUAAGAUAAUUAAUCAUGCACCUGCCUGCAAUUCUAUAAUUUCAGUGGAUAAUUCAUUUUUUUCAAGGUUUUUCUUGAACAGGAAAUUAAUUCACAAUCUUAAAUUUGCUGAAUUUGCUUGUGGUUUCGAUUUUGGAAUAUUAAAGCUUAAUCCAGAAG